UUGUUUCUUUGACAACACACAGACUAAAAUUGCAACAAUACAGAGAUCAAUGUGGCCCCUACUCAAGGAUGACAUGCAAAUAUGUAAAAGAUUACAUAUUUUU
Molecule: small nuclear RNA, 103 nt
Organism: Mustela putorius furo (domestic ferret)
Lineage: Eukaryota; Metazoa; Chordata; Mammalia; Carnivora; Mustelidae
Source: Ensembl